GAUGAACGCUGGCGGCGUGCUUAACACAUGCAAGUCGAACGGUGAAGGCGGAGCUUGCUCUGCUGGAUCAGUGGCGAACGGGUGAGUAACACGUGAGCAAUCUGCCCCUGACUCUGGGAUAAGCGCUGGAAACGGCGUCUAAUACUGGAUACGAGCUGCGAAGGCAUCUUCAGCAGCUGGAAAGAAUUUCGGUCAGGGACGAGCUCGCGGCCUAUCAGCUUGUUGGUGAGGUAAUGGCUCACCAAGGCGUCGACGGGUAGCCGGCCUGAGAGGGUGACCGGCCACACUGGGACUGAGACACGGCCCAGACUCCUACGGGAGGCAGCAGUGAGGAAUAUUGCACGAUGGGCGAAAGCCUGAUGCAGCAACGCCGCGUGAGGGACGACGGCCUUCGGGUUGUAAACCUCUUUUAGCAGGGAAGAAGCGAAAGUGACGGUACCUGCAGAAAAAGCGCCGGCUAACUACGUG
RNAcentral lists this ribosomal RNA (468 nucleotides) under uncultured bacterium. RNAcentral's name for it is "partial 16S ribosomal RNA". It matches the Rfam family "Bacterial small subunit ribosomal RNA", at positions 28 to 507 of the family's 1533-position model. The record is from RNAcentral.